CAAGUCGAGCGGAGGGGCAACCCUUAGCGGCGAACGGGUGAGUAACACGUAGGUAACGUGCCUUCAGGUGGGGAACAACCGUGGGAAACCAUGGCUAAUACCGCAUAAUGUCGAAAGAUGAAAGCCUUCGGGCGCCUGGAGAGCGGCCUGCGUCCCAUUAGCUUGUUGGUAGGGUAACGGCCUACCAAGGCAACGAUGGGUAGCUGGUCUAAGAGGAUGAUCAGCCACACUGGAACUGAGACACGGUCCAGACUCCUACGGGAGGCAGCAGUGGGGAAUAUUGCGCAAUGGGGGAAACCCUGACGCAGCCACGCCGCGUGAGUGAAGAAGGCCUUCGGGUCGUAAAGCUCUGUCGGGAGAGACGAAGGGGUAAAACCCUGACGGUAUCUCGCAAGAAAGCACCGGCUAACUCUGUGCCAGCAGCCGCGGUAAUACAGAGGGUGCAAGCGUUGCUCGGAUUUACUGGGCGUAAAGCGUACGCAGACGGACCAUCAAGUCGGGAGUGAAAGCCCUGGGCUCAACCCAGGAACGGCUUUCGAUAAUAGUGGUCUUGAGUUUGGGAGAGGGAAGCGGAAUUCCUGGUGUAGAGGUGAAAUUCGUAGAUAUCAGGAGGAACACCGGCGGCGAAGGCGGCUUCCUGGCCCAAUACUGACGUUCAGGUACGAAAGCGUGGGUAGCAAACAGGAUUAGAUACCCUGGUAGUCCACGCUGUAAACGAUGAGUGCUGGAUGUCGGAGGUAUUCACCCCUUCGGUAUCGAAGCUAACGCGUUAAGCACUCCGCCUGGGGAGUACGGCCGCAAGGUUGAAACUCAAAGGAAUUGACGGGGGCCCGCACAAGCGGUGGA
This 846-nucleotide ribosomal RNA is filed under the name uncultured Pseudomonadota bacterium. RNAcentral describes it as "bacterial SSU rRNA". It matches the Rfam family "Bacterial small subunit ribosomal RNA", at positions 58 to 936 of the family's 1533-position model. Lineage: Bacteria; Pseudomonadati; Pseudomonadota. The record is from RNAcentral.